Molecule: ribosomal RNA, 277 nt
Filed under: uncultured Pseudomonas sp.
Lineage: Bacteria; Pseudomonadati; Pseudomonadota; Gammaproteobacteria; Pseudomonadales; Pseudomonadaceae
Description: partial 16S ribosomal RNA
Rfam family: Bacterial small subunit ribosomal RNA
Source: RNAcentral
GUCCUUAGUUACCAGCACGUUAUGGUGGGCACUCUAAGGAGACUGCCGGUGACAAACCGGAGGAAGGUGGGGAUGACGUCAAGUCAUCAUGGCCCUUACGGCCUGGGCUACACACGUGCUACAAUGGUCGGUACAAAGGGUUUGCCAAGCCGCGAGGUGGAGCUAAUCCCAUAAAACCGAUCGUAGUCCGGAUCGCAGUCUGCAACUCGACUGCGUGAAGUCGGAAUCGCUAGUAAUCGUGAAUCAGAAUGUCACGGUGAAUACGUUCCCGGGCCUU